This 433-nucleotide ribosomal RNA is filed under the name uncultured bacterium. RNAcentral describes it as "partial 16S ribosomal RNA". It matches the Rfam family "Bacterial small subunit ribosomal RNA", at positions 29 to 507 of the family's 1533-position model. The record is from RNAcentral.
AGCGAACGCUGGCGGCAGGCCUAACACAUGCAAGUCGAACGAACUCUUCGGAGUUAGUGGCGGACGGGUGAGUAACACGUGGGAACGUGCCUUUAGGUUCGGAAUAACUCAGGGAAACUUGAGCUAAUACCGGAUGUGCCCUUCGGGGGAAAGAUUUAUCGCCUUUAGAGCGGCCCGCGUCUGAUUAGCUAGUUGGUGAGGUAAAGGCUCACCAAGGCGACGAUCAGUAGCUGGUCUGAGAGGAUGAUCAGCCACAUUGGGACUGAGACACGGCCCAAACUCCUACGGGAGGCAGCAGUGGGUAAUCUUGCGCAAUGGGGGAAAGCAUGACGCAGCCAUGCCGCGUGAAUGAUGAAGGUCUUAGGAUUGUAAAAUUCUUUCACCGGGGACGAUAAUGACGGUACCCGGAGAAGAAGCCCCGGCUAACUUCGUG